UCGUCGUUGCUCCUUACCUGGUGCCACCUCUACGUUCAGGCUCUCAUGUUUCUUGUUUUUUCUCAUAUUCCCUGUAUUCUGUCGCUCCAGUCACUAACCCUGUCUUUCUGUCUGUUUUCCCUCCCAGGUUCACUCACCCUCGUCCUCCGUUCAGUCGGCUGGGCUCAUCCUCCGGUCCUCUCCUCUCGGUCUUCCUCCACGGCGCCCUCCCGGCUCCUCCCUGCUCCUCGCCUCACCACCCAUGCUUCGCCUGCUCCUCGGUCCUCCGUGCCCGCAUCCCCUGGUGUCCACCUCUCCUCCCUCACCUCUUCCCUAGCCCCCUCCGUGAACCCUCAAUAAAACCUCCUUCCCUCUGAGUGUUACGUUUGGGUCCUUUCUGUCCCGUCUCCUAACAUCUUCUUCAGCAUGCGGUGUUCGGGCGAACCUCGCAACAAAUAAAACAGCUGAGGCAGGGAUUGCAAAACUCCAUGUUGUUGCCACUGUUGGAGGCCAGGCCAGAUGUAGUACCAUUGGUUUUUCCACGUCAAUCAAUGGUUGAAUGCACUACUCAGUGAUUCAAGACAAACUGAAGCAGCUGGUAAAAUUCUGGGUGGGCUGGGAGCUGCCCGUGGAAGUUGUGCAGGCAGACCAUCCAAGAUCAUCCACCUGUUUCCACAUCCUGCGCUUGCCUGGUCACUACACCGGUUAUGAAGAGUUUUGCAAUCAUCUGGAAGGUUGCAUUGCAACUAAUGAUUGUGGGUUUGGACUAAUAUGAAGUCUGAGUUUUGCUGCAUACCAUUGUUAGGGCACACUGCACAUCACCCAUGCAUGUUUAGAAAGUGUGUAGUUUGUGACAUAAAUAGUCAGUAGAUGGCAGCCUUUUGUGUUCUAUGAGGAACAAGUUCUAAAUUCAUGAGGUCUCUUCAUUUUCUGGUUUCCUUUAAAUUGAAUCUUUACAUUGAUUCACGUAUCAAAUGUUUACAGCCUCGAAGCCCAUGAGGGAUUCUGAAAACACAACUAUAUCAUUUAAAAAAAGAGAAACGACUGGUUUUUUUUUUGUUUUGUUUUUUUUAAACACAAAAAAUAGAAUAUGCUUGAAGUAUAAAAGUGCAUGCUGGCUGAAAGUUGCUGUCAAGGAGCGAUUACAGAGUCCCCUCUUGGCCAUGUUCUGUGCUCUCCCUGGACUAGGUUCUUUUCUUAGCUGAAAAUCUAAGACUGUUAAUGGAGUCACUGAUCUACUAGACUAGAUUUGGUGAAGGUAAAGUUUUGUCAGUUUCAAGAAAAUAGGAAAUGUUGUAAAAGGUCACGGUGAUAAUAAUCAAGUCAUAGUUGAGCAUUCUGUUAUGUGCCUCAAACUCAAUACUUAUAUCUCAAAGUAUAAUAAAGUUGAACGAAGUAUGUACCAACUUUGGAUGUGAGAA
Micropterus salmoides (largemouth bass) is the source of this 1400-nucleotide long non-coding RNA. RefSeq lists it as uncharacterized. The record is from RefSeq and is a predicted model, not a curated record. The transcript is spliced from 3 exons. Lineage: Eukaryota; Metazoa; Chordata; Actinopteri; Centrarchiformes; Centrarchidae.